AGUAGUUUGAUCAGUGGCUCAGGACGAACGCUGGCGGCGUGCUUAACACAUGCAAGUCGGACGGUCAGGUUAUGAAGGUUCGCUGGAUUGGCCUGGUAGUGGCGGACGGGUGAGUAACGCGUGAGGACAUGGCUUCAGGAGGGGGAUAACGUUUGGAAACGGACGCUAAGACCCCAUAUGCCGGAAGGUGAAAGUGAUCUUCGGAUCAGCCUGGAGAGUGACUCGCGUCCUAUCAGCUAGUUGGUGGGGUGAAGGCCUACCAAGGCGAUGACGGGUAGCCGACCUGAGAGGGUGGCCGGCCACACUGGAACUGAGAUACGGUCCAGACUCCUACGGGAGGCAGCAGUGGGGAAUAUUGGGCAAUGGGCGCAAGCCUGACCCAGCGACGCCGCGUGGGGGAUGAAGUCUUUCGGGAUGUAAACCCUUGUUGUACGGGACGAAAACAAUGACGGUACCGUACGAGGAAGCCCCGGCAAACUACGUG
Molecule: ribosomal RNA, 484 nt
Filed under: uncultured bacterium
Lineage: Bacteria
Description: bacterial SSU rRNA
Rfam family: Bacterial small subunit ribosomal RNA
Source: RNAcentral